Molecule: ribosomal RNA, 492 nt
Filed under: uncultured bacterium
Lineage: Bacteria
Description: partial 16S ribosomal RNA
Rfam family: Bacterial small subunit ribosomal RNA
Source: RNAcentral
AGUGAACGCUGGCGGUAGGCCUAACACAUGCAAGUCGAGCGGCAGCAACGUAAGAGCUUGCUCUUACGUGUGGCUAGUGGCGGACGGGUGAGGAAUACAUCGGAAUCUACUUUUUAGUGCGGGAUAACGUCGUUACACUAGCGCUAAUACUACAUAAGACCUACUGUUGAAAGCAGGUGAUCUUCGGACCUUGUUCGUUUGAAUGAGCCGAUGUCGGAUUAGCUAGUUGUCGGGGCAAGGUACCACCAAGGCGACGAUCCGUACCUGAUCGGAUAUGAUGAGCAGCCACACUGGAACUGAGACACGGUACAGACUCAUACGGGAGGCAGCAGUGGGGAAUAUAGGACAAGGGGAGCAAGCCUGAUCCAGCCAUACCGCGUGGGUGAAGAAGGCAUUCGGGUUGUAAAGCUAAUUUGUUGGGAAAGAAAAGCAGCAGGUGAAUACCCAGCUGUUCUGACGGUACCCAAAGAAUAAGCACCGGCUAACUUCGUG